This 519-nucleotide long non-coding RNA is filed under the name Pelobates cultripes (western spadefoot toad). The record is from RNAcentral. Lineage: Eukaryota; Metazoa; Chordata; Amphibia; Anura; Pelobatidae.
UGGUGGCACUGGGCACCGUAUCCACUGUGAGCUUAACACACCCGCUUUAAGGACACUGACUGCUAUUCAAUCUAUAACAGUGAAAAAAGUUUUUUUUUUUAAAUGCAAGCUAUUUUGACACCAGUGAGUGGUGGCACUGGGCACCGUAUCCACUGUGAGCUUAACACACCCCCUUUAAGGACACUGACUGCUAUUCAAUCUAUAACAGUGAAAAAAGGUUUUUUUUUUAAAUGCAAGCUAUUGUCACACCAGUGAGUGGUGGCACUGGGCACCGUAUCCACUGUGAGCUUAACACACCCGCUUUAAGGACACUGACUGCUAUUCAAUCUAUAACAGUGAAAAAAGUUUUUUUUUUAAAUGCAAGCUAUUGUCACACCAGUGAGUGGUGGCACUGGGCACCGUAUCCACUGUGAGCUUAACACACCCGCUUUAAGGACACUGACUGCUAUUCAAUCUAUAACAGUGAAAAAAGUUUGUUUUUUUAAAUGCAAGCUAUUGUGACACCAGAUAUAAGUGGUG